RNAcentral lists this long non-coding RNA (39736 nucleotides) under Lactuca sativa (garden lettuce). RNAcentral's name for it is "long non-coding RNA (LSAT_LNC002979)". Lineage: Eukaryota; Viridiplantae; Streptophyta; Magnoliopsida; Asterales; Asteraceae. The record is from RNAcentral.
UUAAAUGGAUUGAAAUUCCUAGAUCCUUUGAGAUUCAUUGAACUUUUCAAUAGCAUGUUUAAAUCUCGAUUGUGCCCUUCAAGUUUGUGACUGGGAUGUCGAGAAUCACAAAGUGUGGCUAACCAUGCAAAUUAGCUUGGUACACUUAAUGUUACAGAUCACCUAAUAUGUGUGUCGGUUAACCACACACACUCCAUUGAUAUAUGAUUAACAUCAAGCUACCCUUUUCCACACGCUUUCAGUCCUAGAUUAGUGUGGCGGUUAACCACACGCGAUCCACUAACGACUUAACAAAGUGCAAAGUGCAAUUUCAUGGGUUAGCACCAAAUUUACAUUUUUCCUAAGUAACUAAGAUUGAGAAUUUAAAAGUGUUUAAUUACUUGGUAUUUUCAUUAUAAUUUUAAUGAGAAUUAAUGUCCUAUCCUAUCCAUUCGGCUAACAACCCUCCACCAGUCAAGGAAGCGGUGGGUGAGAGUGGACACCCAUUAAACCGCCAUUUUAUAGGCAACAACCUUAUACCCCCCUUAUACACCGACUUUGUGAAUGAGGCCUACUAAUGGUAAGACUGACUUUUUACUUAUACAUAUAAUAUAUUAAACUUUUAAUAUUAUAAUAGUAUAAGGGUUGAAUUUUAAACUUUUAAAAUUCUAGGGUUUGGAACUAAAGUUAUUCAAAAGUGAAACUUUACAAAUUCCAAAACUUUUGGGCAAGUUUUGAAACUUGUCAAAACUUUUUUAAAUCCAUAACUGAUGAGUUUAAUAUAGGUUUUAAGAAAUGACUCUUGACAUUCCAUAACUUCAGGACAAGUUAUGGAGCUCAUAAAACAUUUAUGUAAAAGACUCUUCAAGUUCCAUAACUUGAGGACAAGUUAUGGAAGACUUAAAACCAUAUUAUGAUGACAUUUAAAAAUGAGACUUUUCACUUUCCAUAACUUGAGGACAGGUUAUUGAUUUCAUCAAAAACAUUUACAUCAAAAAUUCCAACUAACAAAAUUAAACAAUUUGCGUAUGAUCUAAUUAAACUCAUAAGUUAAGAUAAUUUAUAUCAAACAAAUUUCAAGAAAUUAGCCUAAUCAUAUAAACUAAUACAAAUCAUGAAACUUCGACAAUUAUCUUUUAUUUGGAUGAGAAUCAUCAUUACCAUAUCAACAAAAUCAGAUUUUAUGAACUAAAACAUUUUGUGGUAAUGAUUCUAAUCCAAAACAUGCCAAAAAAAACUCGAAAAACUGCCCACUAGAGCACCAAGUCGGCGAGUACAUGAACUGGACUCGUCGAGUUGGACCUUUUCUGAGUGGACUCGACGAGUCACCCAGUCGAUUCAGCGAGUUCACUAUCCAGAAUGCAGAAAAUCAAUUUUUUACACUUUGAAAACCAAUAAAACAUCAAUUAUAAUAGAAAACAACCCUAGGCUCUGAUACCACUCAUGGAUUUUAGUAGACUACAACAUCCUAUGGUGCACAUACAACCCUAAAUGCUUUGGAUCUAUGUUCUCUCUAAUUAUACAUGCAAUAUUUUUUCCAAAGCAUUAAGCCUACAACUAUCAUACAAAAUGAUAUAAACAACAUAAAAUUGGGUUAUGGAGUUACCUCUUGUUUGUAGCUUGUAGAACUUCUUGAGUUUGGCCUUUAAGAACUAAGUGCCCUAAGUGUUGCACAUCAAAUGGUUCACAACACACCUAGGAAAAAGGAUGACUUUUGAGAUAAUAUCCUAACACCAAAAUCGGUUCAAUGAUCUCCAAGAACACUAAUGUAUGUAGUAGCCAAUUUUGGAUGCUAAGGGGCUUCUUAUAUAGUGUGGCAAGAUUAGGGUUACACCAUGCAAACCCUAAUGUGAAUGACCUUCCAUAUUCCUUAGGCUUUAUGGGUUUAAACCCCAUGGAUCAUCCAUAGGUUCUAACAUUGGUUUAGCCUAACCUAAAGAAUCAUGGAUCAUUGGCCCAAACCAUAAGAAUGAAUGAUUUACCAAAUCAAUCCUCAUAUAUUUAAUCAGUCUCUUUUGAUCAUAAGAUUAAUUCUUGAUCAAUACUAAUUAAAUAAUACGAUUUCAUAUUAAUAUAUUAGAACUUAUAAUAUAUUAAUAAAUCAUAAAUAACCUCUUCUCAAAAGUCCAUCAUAUCUAAUUGUCCUAGUGAUAUGCAACCCAAAUGGACCAUGCUACUCUCGGUUCAAGUACAUACCAAUUAUAGUUAUGGGCUUAGACACCUAAUCCAUUAUGUACAAUCUGAACUGAACAUAGAACAGUCAGAUAGUCAGACUGUCAGUCAAGUUGAGCCACGAGUGGUUAGAAAAACCAACAUAAUUGAGGAAAUGAUGGACAUGGAUGAAAGUACAAGGAUUUGAUGGCAUCCAAACCACCAAGCCUUUCUGGAAGACCAACACCGGUGUAAGUCAUGGAUUGGAUCUCCGAGAUGGAGAUGAUUUUUGAAAGUUGCGACUACAAUAACAAACAGAAGACCGAUCUCACGAUAACACUAUUGAAGACUGUAAUAUUAAGUUAUUGAAAGCUACUAGCUGAUACCAUGCCCAAGGGAGAAGCUAGUAAGAUGUCUUGGGAAGAAUUUUUGGUACAACUAAAAAUGCAAUACUGAUUUGAGCAGGAUCUUCUGGAGAUCAACAAUGAGUUUCAGAAUAUGAAGAAGGGAAGGAUGAGUGUCAUCAAGUAUGCUGCUAGUUUUACUGAGAAAAUGAAGCUUGUUACUUAUUUGGUUCCAACUGAACUCUCCAAGGUCAACAAUUUUGCCAAUGGAUUACCAGCAGACUUUGGUCCAAUGGUCAAAUAAGCAACCACCUUGAAAGCCGCCAUCUGGGCAGCUAAGAAUGUAGAGACCCAGAUAAGAGAAAAGGGUCUAGAAAAAGAUAAGGCAUGAGAAAAGAGGAAGUUUGAAGGAUCCUCAAGAUCCGAUAAGAAAGGAAGAUUCUCAAAGUCUAACCUGGACGGCCAAAAGUAUGGAGCCAAAUGGCAUGAAAAGUGCAAGAAGAAGCAUUAUGGUAGAUGCGACGGAGAAGUAACUUGUUAUAAGUGUGGGAGGAUCGGUCACUAUUCUAGAGAUUGUACAUUUGACAAAAAGAAGUGUUAUGAAUGUGAAGAUGGUGGGCAUAUUUCGAAGAACUACCUAAAGAAAAACAAAGCUGCAAGGCAAAAUGCGUCACUGAAGCCAAAGGCAAGAGCAUUUCAGAUGAUCCUUGAUGAAGCAAGUGAUGACGCAAGGUUAUAGGAGUAAGUAAGGAUCUAUAAUGUAGCCAUAUACAUAGUAUCAUGUGGUAAAGCCUAAUAUAAGAGGCAUAGUGUAAGGUGAACUUGAAUAUUAUGUAAUUGUUUCAAGAAAUAAUAUAAACCUUGGUUAUGUUAUCCGAUGUGUUAAAUUCUUGUGUGGUGAAUUGAAGAACUGAGAGACAAUACUUGGGACGAAUAUGAGUAGGUGUGAAUGGUAGUAGAGGCCUAUACUACCGGAAGCACAUGACUCACACUUAGAUCAGGGAAAGUCACAAGGUUACCAAGGCACUAGUAAAUGAUUCAGUUUUUUUCAUGCCUAUCGUUACCAUCGUUUAAAUAAUGACUAAGAAGAUGAUUAUUAUUCUGAACCUAGUGGUUAUAUCAAAUCGAUAUCGGCUAAGAUAAGUAUUGUACAUGGUUCAUAGAACCAAGUUUGAUGUAGCAUCUGACUUAAGCCAGAAGAUUGAAAUAAAAGAUAAUCGAAGUGAUCAAUAAAAAUAUCACGAUCGUUGUUAAAGUAAGACACUUUUAGCUAGAAGCGCUACGUGGUAGGAUGUAAUUAUAUCACAUUAGAACAUGAAGGAAUGUAUCUUCCAUUCUGGAAUCUGACUUAAAAAGACUUGAGUCUAAGCGUUACAUCAUACGAUGAGAGGUCAUUAGAACAUGGCCCAUUAGUCUAUUACAGUAAUCGAAGUAACUACCUUAUCUUAAGUUAAGUAUGUUUAAGAAGAAGCAGGAGUCUCCAAUAAGGACGUAGUUUUUAACUCGAAGGUUAUGAUUGAAAGUCCAACACAGGAUAAAAAGCGGGUGCAAGAUUGCGCACCGCCAACAGUCAAGGAGUCCUAGAGUUAAAUACUCAGUUGAAAGGACAUAAGAGUUACGACUACCACCUAUGAUGGAAAGGAAACGUAUGAAGUCAUUAUACAAGCCCUAUUUUGUUGAUGAUUCAGGGAUGUAAUAAAACUAAGGGGGAGAUAAUUGUAACACCCGUAGAUUCGGGCUAGUCAAUUUAAAUAUAAUAAGCAUUAAAAGUGAUUUUUUUAUAGAAGAUUAUCUAGGAUAAAUAAUAUUAACCAAAGUAAUAGUGAGGUGAACAAUUGUAACCUAUUUGACGUAAUAAAGAAGAAAUAUAUGAAUAUUAUGUGUUUCAUGAUUAUUAUAAUAUAAUAAAAUAGGAAAAAUUAGCCGAAUCGUCCGUAAAUCGUAAAAAUAAGUGCGCCGAAACAUAUAUAUUAUUAUAUAUUUAGAAAGUACACGUCUUCCCCAUCCCGUAAAUAUAAAUAUCAUGGAAAUCCGACUUCGUAUGAAAUAGGUAUUAUUUUUACAAGAUAUAAAAGUCAGCAACGCAUAAUGAAUGUAUGACGUAAAAAGCUACGAAGAGAAUGGUUGACUUUUAGCUAAAGCCACCAAAAAGAAAAUCAUAGUAUUAUUUAAAAUAAGAAUUUUGAGAAAAAGAAUGCCAAAAACAGAGUCCGUACGAGAGAGUUAUGAUUUUAGCAAAAUCAUUUAAUUUUAUAAAAAUAUGGACGAAAAAUAAAGUCAAAAUUAGCCAACGGAGUCUAAACGAAAGUUGUAGAUCUUGUCGAUAGCUAUGUGUGGAUAUAAAGAACGUCAAAAACGGAGUUUGUAUGAACGAGUUAUAAUUUAUAAUAGCAUAUUUACGUAUUAAAAUAAAGUAUAAAUCAUAUAUACGUACACACAAACACACACACACACACACACACACACACACACAUAUAUAUAUAUAUAUAUAUAUCAUUUGCAAGGUAUCGACGAUGCGGUCAUUAUAAGACUAGUGUUGAAUACUUUCGACAUUAGUUUAGUACAAAUAUCAUUAAAUCUAUUUAAAAUAGUAUUAUAAGUGGGUGCUUAGUCAUUUAAGUAACUCCAAAUGGAGGUUUUUGAAAAUUCAAUUACUAUAAUAAGAGGCUCUAGGCUCUUAUGUUUCUUGCACCAUUCUCUUGAUUUAAGAGUCUUUUUCUUCUUAUCCGCUGAGCAUUUCGGUCCUUCAUGAUUCGGCUUCUUUAUCUGUGGCUUUAGUAUGUAAGGUGAGCGCUGAAGCGCUACAAGAAUCUUUUAGAAAGAUUCAGCGACGAAGUUCUGCCCUGCAGAGCCCGACUCCUAGCUAAACCCCCCUUGUAAUUUUCGUCGAAGGAACAUAAAAUUGUUAGAAGCGAAGCAUUGCCCGAGUUUGGAGUCAUCACUUUAACAAGUGAGUGCAUAGUUACUUUCAUCUUACACAUAGAUAUGAAGUAUUUACUAUUAAUACAUGCUAUAUGUGCUUAUUAUUUGUGUUCUUGAUAUCUAUGCUAGAUGAACGAUAUUUACGUGUUUUAUGUGAUUUCAAUUGUAUAUGUAUUUUUAUACUUAUAAAUAUGUAUUGGGUAGGGAUGGGUGAUGAGAGGUAGGUGAUGAUAACUAGGCGAUGAUAGAUAUGCGACGAUGAAUAGGUGAUGCGAGAUAAGAGAUGAUUAGGAGAUGCCAUAACCUUGACAUGCGAUGUUGCGAUGUAGUCAUCUACCAAAGUAUAGAUGGCGACACCUGACUAAUCUAAACAAGUCAUGUGGAAACACCGGCAGGCUCAUAACUUGUAGGUUAUGAAUUACGAUUUCAGGCGAUGUAGUAACUACGUAUGCAUGCGAAGAUACUCCAACCCUUACUGGACAUGCAUUGGGGUAGUAAUCCCCGAAUCAGUACUAUCUAUGCGAUGUAGACAGUGAUCCUUAGGAAAAUUCCUUAGGACCAAACAUAUAAGGAAAUGUGAUGUAAGGAGAUGAGAGGUAAAUACGAUGUAGGAGAUGAACCUUAGAAUAAAUCAUUAGGGAAGAUUAAAUGAAGAAAAUGGGGAUGGGUAAUCAGGUUAUUUGUUUGACAUGAAUUAUGUGAAGAAACAAAUGAACUAUGUUAUUGUGGGUUGAAAAACCUUAUGUACUUACCAGAUUUCCCAACCGGACCCUCUCAGUUUAUUUGUAUCACAGGUGUCGAUACGAAGCUACAUUACAUCAAGAGGUUAAAGGAGAUGUAAAUCACUAGUGUAAAUGUAUGUAAGGCCUUUUUAUGCUUUUGUUUCUAUAUUGACGAUGACAUCCCAAAGUUUUAAUACAAACAAAAUAUAUUUCUUUGGAAAUGCUUUGAUAAUAUAUUUAUCAUGUUUUCUGGGAACAAAUUCCGUAAUAUUAUUCUUUAAAAAUGAAUACUCUGAUUUUCAAAUAAGCAUAAAUAAAAUUUUUAAAAUGACUGUGAAUUUAGGGGUGUCACACCAACCGAUACAAUGCUUUGACUAUCGGAGUCGCACCUGGAACCAAAUCAAUCCUGAAAUCCCUUUGACUCUCCGGAGGUACCCCUAGCAAAUCCUUCGGGAACACAUCCGGAUAAUCCCGCACGAUCGGCACAUCAUCCACAAUUGCCUUACCCAAAUCUCUAGUAUCCAUGAUAUAGGCGACAAAAGCAGAACAACCCUGAUGAAGAUAACUUCUAGCCCUUGCUGCAGAACACAUAAUCAGCCCAUGUUUCAGUCUCUCACCCUGAAUCACCAACUCUCCCCUACUUAGGGUCCGAACCCGAACCAACUGUUUCUCACAGUCGAUCACUGCUCCAUUAGAGCUCAACAAAUCCAUGCCCACGAUAACAUUGUUCCCACACAGAGGAAUGGGAACCAGAUGAACCUGAUACAACUCACUGAAUAGCUUAAUAGUAAACCCUCGAUGAACCCUCACAACCCGAAUGGACCUAUCACCAACAAUCUCCACAUCCAAAGGACAAUCUAGCUCCCCCGGAGCUCCAACAAAUCUCUUGCUAAGCGCCAGAGAUACAAACGAUCAGGUAGCCCUUGAAUCAAAUAAUACCAAAGCAAUGAUACUGUUCACAAGGAUUGAUCCUAAAAUAAAACACAUAAAUAUAAGCAACAAUUCAAUAUAAAUAAAGAGAUAAAGAGAAGAUACAUACCCGUCACGGCAACAGGAGUUGCACGCGCCUCCUCCACGGUCAGUUGGAAAGCCCUGAUCUUCACCGCAGGUGCCUCUGCCCGGCCCUGGCGUCCUUUAGUAAUCCUCAAUGUUUUAGGAGUGGGUGCUAACACCGGUCCUGCUGCAGCUGCUAAACUCGGACACUAGGCCUUCUUGUAGCCCCUCUGAUUGGACUAAGAGCAAAUCAAAUAAGAUGCCGGAGUGAUGGGGGUGUUAGCAGUACAAUCUCUGCUGAUAUGACCAGUCCGGCCGCACUUGAAGUAGCCAGAAGCAUCCAUCAUGCACUUCGCCUCGUGCGAUCUGCCGCACUUGCCACAGUGGCCUCGAUCCUGUUGGCCCUUCCCUCUCAUAUCAACUACAUUGGGCCUCAUGCCCGAACCCUCAAUACUGGACACAAAAUUUGGCUUCAUCUUCCUUUCCAUCUCCAAAUUAAUCUCCAAAUCAAUCCCCUUCUCCAUUUCCCUCACAGUCACAUAAAAAGGAAAGCACUAGAGCUUCCUCAUGUUACAUUCAAAGAUCAACUUGCAUAAUUGUUAACGAAAGCUAUAUGUAGAAGAGUAUUUCAGUUCUCUCUUGAUAAGCUAGGAAAGAUGGACAUACAUUCUCCGCCUUGAGGGGAGUGUUGACGAGAUCAUUAUUAGGAAAUGUUGUUUAUAUCAAUAUUAUAUAAUUCCUAUAGAAUAACAUGUAGAUAAGAAGUUGUUAGUUUCUUCCCUGUGUGUAUGUAUGUAUAUAUAUAUAUAUAUAUAUAUAUAUAUACAUGUUGUAACAUCCAAAAUAUGGUCCCAAAAAUUUUCAUUUAUAAUAAAUAAAAUAGUAUCAUCAAUUGUCAUCCAUACAUCUCAACGAAAACAAAUAUAUCAAAUUAGAGUAAAUAUCAAUUGCGGAAUCUCCAUGGUGUGUGCGGUGCAGUUAGCUUGAUCCCUUCCCCUUGGAACCGGAAAUACCUGAAACAAACUAAAUCCGUAAGCACAAAACAUAGUCAGUUCCCUAAGAUAUUGAUACCAUACACAUCAUAUAAUGGGCCCCACCUACACUCGCAUAACGGGCCCCGCCCUAUGAGAUACGAGCCUCACCUACACUCGCAUAACGAGCCCCACCCCAAAAGAGAUACGGGCCCCGUCCACACUUAUAAUACGGGCCCCGUCCACACUCAUAAUACGGGCCCCGCCCAGUAAGCAUACAUAUACAAACACAUACAAGUAUCACACAGACAACAAGUAUAUCAACAUAAUCAACAUGGGUCAGCCUUGGUGCCGUAGACGCGCUAAACCCGAUGAGGAAAACUCACAUCGGAUGUUAAACAAUAGUUGAAUAGGUCCCGACUCUAAAUAUCAGCUCUACUCAACCCCUAAACAUAAACAAUUCCUUAUAUACAACUAAAAAUGCCCCGAUACCUCUUAUAGGUCAAACUUGGUCAAAGAAAAAAGUCAAAAGUCAAGGUCAACGGUCCGAGUUGACCCAGCACGCUGUGUCGUCCUUCAACACGUAAUGUUUCUUCAUCCAUUGCAAGAUCGGGAAAAACCAUGCCAACACACCGUGUUUACCAAUGAACACGCCGUCUUCGCUAGAAAUCCAACAACAUAAUACAUUAAGCUGACUUCAUUAAAUCUACGAGCUCCAAAGCUCAGAUCUUAAUCAAAAUGAUAUCUAGAAGGGUAAAAUUUCCAACUUUACCCUUAGGAACCACCAAAAUUGGUUAAAACCGAAACCCUAGGCUCAUUAGAGUGAGGGCUUAACCCGUUAAGCUCUUAAUCUCCAAAGACAUAGCCCCAAAAUGCAGAUAUGACACCUAAAGGCUGGAAAAUCACGUGAAGUUGCUAACUUUACGUUCAUGCGUGCCAAAGAGAAGCUCUAUAGCUCAAGAAGGGCUUAAUAAAGGGCUUAAUGCAUGAAUGAGACCUAGAACCUAAUAAAUCUUGAAACUUUAAGCCAAAGGUGGCCACAAAAUGGCCAAAUCUAACAUGACAACCCAUGAAACACUCAGCUCCUUAGACAAUCCAUCAAUGAGCCCAAAAAUCAUGAUGAAACCCCAAAAGAAGAGAUCUAAACAACAAAAAACAAGGUAUGAACUUGAUACCUCAAAGAGAUUGCAACAAGUGGGGAGAUUCUGGAUCUAUAGCCUUCCCUCCAAGCUAGACACCUUCAAACUUCAAGGCUCCUUCAAAAGAGUACAAAAAUCCACAAAAUCCACUCAAAAAUUCAAGAUCACCACCAAGGAAAGCUCACAAUUUGAUUUAGGGUUUAAGAUGAUAAAGGAGGCUGGUAAGGAGGCCGGUCAAGGGGACUUAAGGCCUUUAAAUAGGGUGCAAUACCCUAAAAAUUAGAGUUUCCUUCCCAGCUGCCAACACGCCGUGUUGGGGCACCUUAACACGUCGUGUUGGUUCAUUAAACUCCACGGCCAAAAGCAUCUCAACACUCCGUGUUGAGGCUCCAACACGCUGUGUCCCAAAGAAAAUAAGAACAACUUGGAAAUAAAUUCAUACCAGGAAAUCAGGCGUUACACAUUUAUCUUUGAUAGAAUGAAAUACACAGAAAAAGGAAGUUCAUUCCCAUUAAUAUUCUCAAUUUCUACAUUUUAUUGGAUCACAUUUGAAUUAGUGGAGUUUGUGUGGUGAAUAUAUUAUUUUCUGUUUUACGAAAUCAUCUAAUGGUGACCUAAAUACUAGCGAUUUAAUAUGUGCAUAUUCCAAAAAUAAUUUGUAUAACAUAUAAUUUAUAAAACACAAACCGUAAACCUUUGUGUAUUUCCACUAUAAUUCCAUUUUUUCAAAUUUACUAAUUAUAACUAUGGUGAUUCUUAAAUGAUUUUUAAUUCCUAAUUACAUUAACAUUAUUUGUUUUACUAGGCAUAAUCAUACACGUUGUGCAUGAAUACAAUUAUACAGUUAAAAUAUUCAUGAGUAUUUGUUUAAAUCAUUUCAAUCAAUAACAGAGCCAAAAUUUUGGAUACCGAAAGUACAAAUAUAAUCUAGAUCAAAUGUAACUAUUUGAACAAUGUUCUUUAAUGUUAAACUUGUACCUCCUAGAGUAUAAUAUAAAUAAAAUUUUCAAUUAAAUUCGGCGAGUUCCGUUUAUUGAAAAUGAUUGAUUAUAUGGUUAUAAAAAAUCUAUAGAAACACAUUUCUUAAUGAAAAUGACUAAAAUUUAACAUAUCUUUCUUUUGGAGAUAAGACAUAGAAAAUAUUCUUUAUAAUGACAUGGAUUACCAUAUUCUAAUAAAAAACAUACUAAAUGCAUUAUAUAUUUAUGUGAUAUUAUGAUAAAAGCUUGCAUCAUAAUCUAGAUAGAAAAUAUACGGCUCCAAUGGUAUAUUAUGAUUUAUACCAAACUUUGUAUAUUUAAAGUUAUAAUAGAAUAAUGUAUUAAAGUAUUCAAAUUAUAACAAUAUAAAGAUAAAUUAUAUAAAUAAAAUAAGGUAAUCAAAAUUAGUUAAUUCAUUGAAGUUUUCAUUUAAUAUUACAACUAUUCAAAUUCUAGUUAAAAAAUAUUUGACAUUAACAACUACAACUUAAAAGUUGUUUUUUACUUAUAUACUUAAAUGAUAGUUAUAAGUUUUAAUUAAAUAUAAUUUGAAUAAUUAGGUUGUAUUUAGUCAAUUAAAAAGAUAAUAUGAUCAUCUACUCUUUAUAUAGAACAGUCAUCAAAAUCUCAUAUAAACANNNNNNNNNNNNNNNNNNNNNNNNNNNNNNNNNNNNNNNNNNNNNNNNNNNNNNNNNNNNNNNNNNNNNNNNNNNNNNNNNNNNNNNNNNNNNNNNNNNNNNNNNNNNNNNNNNNNNNNNNNNNNNNNNNNNNNNNNNNNNNNNNNNNNNNNNNNNNCAAAUUUAAUCUACACCUAAAAUUACUUCUUAAAUCUGCAUAUGUCUACAAUGAGACUUGAACCUUCAACUUUAAGAAGGAAAUGUAAUACCUGAUAUCGAUGGGCUAAAAUUAAAAAAUCGUAUAUAUGAUUGAACUGUGUCAUAUUCAAUUUCGUCCUUUGUUUUUCUUAAUCUACCGGUUCUAAAUACUUUUAAAGUAAUUAUAUUUUUCUCUUUCUAAUUUGUACUUGAUCCUAUACAGUUUAACUAAAAAAGAAAAAAAUAAAAAAGAGUUAGGAACUAAUGUUUUUGAAAAAAUUAGAAUAUAUCAAAGAAGUAGAAUCUGUUAGGAAUUAUAAUGCAAUUCCAUAUUUUAUUAGGUAGGCAGGAAAUAAAAUUUGAAUUCAAAUUCAAUUAGAUAUUUUUUUUGGUUGACAACAAAUGAAAUUGAAAUAACAUAAAAUGUCCUGAUUGUCUUUGUUUUUUUUUUUCCUUAAAUUUACUUUUUUAUAACUUAUGUGUAAAGAUUUUUUAUAUAAAUUAUAAAAAUAGUAAAUGAUGGUAGCAACGACGAUCAGUGGAGUUGGUGGUGGUAAAGGUGGUGCUGAUGUUGCCGGUGAUAGUGGAGGUGAUGUCGGGUGGGUGGGUCGUGACAACGAAGGAGGUGAUGAUGGUGGUGAUGUAUGAUGAUGACAUUGGUAGUGACGAAGAUGAUAGUGGUGGUAGAGGAGUUUUAUAAGUAGUGAUAAAACUAAAAAACAUAAUAUGGUAACUUUUAACACUUGGAAAUGAAUUUUAAAUUACUCAUCUUUUGAAUGAAAUUCAGUUCCCUUGAUGAAAGAAAAAUUAAAUUCAUUUAAAAUUCAAAUUCUUUUUGAAAGCUUAAACCAACAUUUAAAAAAAAAGAAUCAACAUUAAUUUAAUUCCUUCUGAUUCUAAAAAAUUAUAACCAACCAAACCUUUAAAGACCAUGACAAUUGACCAGGCCCAAUAUCGAUUCUGAAUUUCAUUUCAGUCCAACACUUGAAUACUACGAGCCCAACCAAGCCUGGUCACUUUAGAACGAGCACACAGGCGAGAGUGAAAGAUAAAUUUCUUUUGUCUUCAAUUCGUUUCAAUCUCCUUCAUAAUUGGAUCAAUCUGCACGAGCUGAACACAGCCGAUUAGAUUAAUAGAUUGCUUGAUUGAUUUCUCUUAAUUACUUUUAUAUUUUCCGUCAAAAUUUAUAAAAUCUAUGCUAUCCCGUCCUUUUGGAUCAAUUUGCACGAGCUGGACACUGCCGAUUAGAUUAGGCAUAUAAGAUCAUCUCCAAUGGAUUAAAAUAUUAAACAUAUGAAGAGUUGUAUGAAAUGUCAAGUAGGAGAGAGAAUACUUUAAUUUUUAAAAUACUCAUAAAUUUGUAUUAUAAUUCUAUUGAACCGUUGAAUGGCCAUUCAACUCUACCUUCUCUAUCAUCUAUAUUAUAUUAAAAUUUAUUCUAUUAAAUUUUUAAACAACUUCUAUUGGGGAGGACCUAAUUUUAGUAACAACUAGUGUUGUGUUCUUGUUACACGCUAAAAGCUUAACAAUCCAUAGAAUCUCAUACAUAUAAUCUACUAGAUUACGACCUGCGUUAGACGCUGAGAACAUAUAAAAAAUAUAUAUAUGAGUUAUAAAAAUCGACACAAUUAAAAAAAAGAUAAAGUAAUAUAAAAAAAUUAAUAUCAUAAAACAAAAUAAAAGAAUGAGCUGAUGAUUAAAACUAUAGAUUAAAAAAAAAAAACAAAGUAUUCAAUCGUAAACUAAUAUAAAAUAAUAAAUAUCUUCAUUAGAAAAAACAACGGUUAUCGAAUGCAAUAUAAAAUAUAUAAAAUCACACAUUUUUACUUGACAUAAUUACUAUCUCAAAAUCCGAAUGAAAUGAAAAAACUUCAUUAGAACGAUAUGCUGGAACGACAUACUCAAUCGUAUUUCCUUUAAAGAAAUAAAUGAGAUUGUUUAGAUAAUCCCAUCAUUCAUUUGCAACGACAUUGUAAUUACUAACAUCUACUUUAACCAACCGGUUCUGAAUGAAAAUCAAAAUAGCCCACAAACGAUCUCCACUUAUAGAAAAAUAUCUCAAUUUUUCAUCAAACUUGAUAAGCCUUGAUGCAUACGAGUGGAAAACAUGAAUAAUAGAAGGUGCAUAUAUCACUAAAUACUUUUCUAAUUAUACAUCGAAUCACAAAAUGACAUAGUCAGACAAUAAGAAGUAAACGAUACAUCCACUUAUAAUUGUAUCAUCCGAAACAGGAUAAACAUAAGAUGGUAACCGGAUAUUACGAAGUUCCCUCCAUUCCCAUGUACUAGAGGAAAACAAUUCUAGGUGGAAGUAAUCAUAGUUCACCUAAUUCUUAAGCAAAUCAUUACAAAGAAAAUAACAUAUCAGUAAUAAAAUAAACUAAAAUAAUAUACCUAAAAUAUAAUUAAGAUAAAGUCUUACGAUAACAGUGCGUAUGAUAAUCGGAUGAUCUUGAAAUGCAAAGACUUCGAACUCAUAACUACCAUAACAAACUUUACCGCAACGUAUUUAGAGAUUGGCAACAGUAAUGCUUUACGAUCUCAAUUCGUUGGUUUACAAAUAAAUGAAAACUUUUUUGGAUAUUCAUCUCCAUUAUCACAUUCAGCAACAAUGAGUCUGCACAACGAAGAUUUGGUAUACACCAUUUCAAAAUUCUUCCCACCACAUGAUGAAACAAACUGAUACACUAUAGUUCCCUGUGGUUUUUUUUGCUAAACAAUAACUCCAAAAAUCACAUUAUUUUUAUGUUUGUACAGAUUAAGAACAUGCUUGUUGUAUGUUAGUUUUUCAAAAUAUUUACUAGUACAACGUAAACUAUCAAAUGUCUGUAAUGAUGUUCUUGAAAACAUUUCAAUAAUUAUCUCAGAGUCCAAUGAUGAUAACUAUAAAACAAACAAAAUAAUAAAAAAUUGUACAAUUUUAAAUUAAACAGAUUAUAUAUAAAAUAAAACACGUAACAUAUUCAUCAAAAACAUUUGUAUAACAAUACUAAUGAAGUAAAUAGAAUUUAGUAAUGUACAAUGGAUGAGUGAUCUUGUGCAACAUUACUUUUAUUCCUCGAAAUAUACUCCAUUAUUGAUAUGAUGAAGCAACAAAUGUGUAUACCAUAAACGUAUAAUGAAUUGAAGUGAUCUGAAAAGUCGAAUUGACAAGCAAUAAGCAAAACAGGAGGUAAUAUGUGUGAAAUAUUCACAAAUGUCGUAGAAAAAAAUUAAUCAAACAAAUGGGAGAACUUUAAUGUCUGCUAGGUGUGACACUCGUGUAUUACACAGGUUUAUUAAAAAAAUUAAUAUCAAAUUUUGAAUAUCAAGCAAUUACUAAAGUAAUACUUUUACAAACAAGCAAAGACUUUAUUGCAUAAGUAUGUAUUUGAACCCAAAUUAGUAAUGACAUAUUCUAAAUAAUUGUUAAAGGAUCGAUCGAAGGCAAUACUAAAGGAAUGGGAAAAUAACGAAUAUAAUAUGAUAAAUUCAAAGGUUAAUCACUUAAUCAUGAUCAUGAAAAAGAACAUUGUGCCCUUUUUAUUUUAUUUUUUAAUUAAUUUUCUUAUUUAUGUAUUUAUUUUUAUAUAUUUAAAAAAUAUAUAGACCCCAUAUAUCUAUAGUUCCUCACUUUAAACCUAAAAUCACAUUUGAGAAAUUUAAGUUUGGUCCCACCAGUCACCAUUCCAUCUCUUAUCCUUCUCAACUUCUAUUUCAUUUUCAUCUUUAGUGAAAUCAACAUUUUCACCAUCCCUUCUUUUUUCGUCUCUUCAAAUCUGACAAACCAACACCACAACCCUUCUAUUGGGUUGUGGUGGUGGAAAAUUCAAUGAUGGACCAAAACAAGAAGGGACGAUGAAGAUGUCGAUGUCACUAUAGAUAGAAAUAAAAUAAAAGUUAAGGAAGAUGAGAAAUGAGAUGGUGACUGAUGAGACCCAUCUUAAAUUUCUCAAAUGUGAUUUCAGGUUUAGCGUAAAGAGAUACAUAUAUGUGAGGUUUAUUAAUUUUUUUAAACAUAUAAAAAAUAAAUACAUAAAUAAGAAAAUUAAUUAUUAAAUAAAUUAGAAAGGGCAUCAUAGUCUUUUGAGGUAAGAUAGGGACCAAACGCAAAACAAAAAUAAACAAUAGGGAUCAUCCGAGUUAAAAAAUAAGUUAGGGCAACACACAAAUUACCCAAGCCAUAAGGACCAUUCGUGUAAUUUAUUCUUACCUUUUUAGUUUGUUCACAUAUGGGUAGUUAUCUUUUUUUGUACACAUCUAGGUAACGAACUUUUCGGAAGUGUUCACAUAUGACUGGUUAUGACCAGAUGUAACCUGCUACAGCCGGUCAUAAUGGUCAUAUGUUAAAACUUCCAAAAAGUUUGUUACCUAGAUGUGUAGAAAAAAAAAUUACCCAGAUGUGAACAAACUGAAUAUUUAAUUAUCUUAAAAAGUCUAUUUUACUCUGAAUUUCCGUUUAUUUUAACUUUUUAACAUAGAAGGUUAGAAUAAUAAGGGACAAUUUGGUAACUUCAUUUUAUGUCAGAAAAGGAUUUGAUAUUUAUGUGCAAUAUGGGAAAGAUGACUGUCGAGUUAGUUGUGUUUCCAUUAAAUACAUUGAAAACAAGCAAAUGUUCCACUAUAUUUAUCUCAAAUUCAUUAAUUUGAUUCACUAUAUAGGAACUUAAUCUCCCCAAUUAUGUUUUAUUUGAAAAUUUAAUUACUAUUUUCUUGAUAUCCAAUAAUGAAAUCUUAAAUUCUAUACUUGUAUCUCUACUUCCAACCACUUUAAACAGUCAUAUACAAAUAACUCAAAUAGCGAGUAUUUUGAGCUAUAUAGCUCUAAUAUCUAUAGCUGAAGGUUUUUAGGAUAUGCUUAUUAUCUGUCAUAAUAAGUUUAGUUUAUAAGUUACUAAUGUUGAUAAUUAUAUUUAUAUCAAAUAUUUUUUAUUUAAAUAUUUCAUAAUUUCUUAUUCUUUUUAUUAUUUCAAAUACGUAUUAUCAUAAUUGUUAAAUUUUACUUAUAAUAAUUCUCCAAAUUUAGAUUAAGUAAUUAACAUUUUUGUGAAAUAUAGUUAGGUAAAUUUAGAUAAAAACAUUAAUGUAAAGAAAGAGCAUAAAAAAGGAAAACAAAACCGUGUUUGGGAGGCAGUGAAACUCUUGAUGCGAAUAUUGAUUCUUGAUCUAAGCAGAAUAAACAAUGAGUCCUCAGUCCUUUGGCGGUUUUACAGUUCUCAUCUAAAUUAUUGUUUGAAAUAUUUUCUCUAUGCCUAAACAGUAAUAGCAAAUAUCAUAGUAACAACAAAUGGCACGGUAACAACAACAUCAAUAUUAAUUUUAGUAAAAUUACACUAAAAGAAAGGACCAUAUCCACGGACAUGGCCAUGGAUCCAAUAGAAAGGUGGUAGAUAGGAUUUAUGAUGAAACAGAAGAACUCGUGCAUGAUCAUCAUCAUUCAAUGAAAAUUGUAUAAAUUCGAAGAUAAAUAUGCGAAACGACAUUCAACAUUUGGUGGUUAUAAUUGUAAUUCGCACAAUUCAUCCAAUGCCCUAAAAACAAAUGAUUACAAUUAAAAGACUUACCAUUAUACAUAUACAUUAAUUCUGCAUAUCAAUAUCUUAGAAAUACCGUUUGCUUAGCGUACAAGCUGAGUACGCCCCGCAUACUCAGCAGAUGGGCUUCGAAAUGUUUCGGGCUCAUGGUGUUGGGCCAUGUUUGGACUCUAUAUGAUUGGGGCCUUGUUGGGCCGUCAUAAUAUUAUUUUGGGCUAAGGAUAUUUUAUUGGAAUUUUGGUUGAAGGCCCAUGAAGUGGUUUGGGUCCAAUUUGGAAAAUUGGGCCAUAUUUGGGCCUUGGAUGAUUAUUUAGGAAUUUGGGAUUUUUGGACAUUUGGAUUGGGCUGUGGCCAUGGGCCAUGUUAGGGAAAGGGUAAAAAGGUCUUUUACCCUAAGUUGGACUCUUAGUGUGAGUUGGGAUCCAAUUAUUAAGUGGAUGUUAUUUUGUGAUUGAUAGUGUAGAGAUUUUUAGCAGGCCAACAGCCAGAGAUUUAUCUGUGCGAUUCAAUAGUCUGAGUUGAGUCUCCUCAUUGUAGUCGUGGGUCAAAGACACCAAUUCCGGUUCAUUAGGUUUUGUUAUACUAGUUAUGUUUGUGACUCUUGCAUGGUAUGUAGGGCUAGGCCUACUUGUAUGAUUGGGCUAGGCCCGUUGUAUGUCAGGCUAGACCCAUUUGUAUGAUGGGCUAGGUCCAUGGAUCAGGAGGGGCUAUUUGUGACUUUCACAUUUGUAUGUUUGGGAUAGGGCCAUUAGAUUGGCAGGGCUAGAUCUAUUAUGGUGGGUUGGGCUCAACAUGCAGGCUGGGCCCAAUGCGAGGGCUAGGCCCAAUGGUAUGUGUGGUAUGUGCUAUUUUGGGGAACUCACUAAGCUUUGUGCUUACGGUUUUUAUGGUUAUGGUUUCAGGUACUUCCGAUUCGAAAGAGAAAGGUUCGGCUUGAUCGCAUCGCAUCCACCCAUGUUUUCGCAUUUUGAUGAUUUUGAGAUUGUCCUCUGAUAAUGAUUUUUCUUAUAAAGUACUUUUGGAUAUUUAGAAAAAGAAUACUAAAUGUUGGCUUAAAUAUAAUUAAUAUUUUGUCUGAAUUAAAAGUGAUACUUUUACCUCAUAAUUUUGGGGUGUUAUAGUGUCUACUAUAAUAUAUUUACAAAAAUGGUCCAAGUUCAAGUAGAUAUACAGGAAUGGUCCUUUUAUAGUAAAUAUAAACUAAAUUUACUAUGUAAUUGUGGGAAUAAAUGGUUAAUAUUCAAAGUAAAAAUAGGAAGUAAGUGGAUAUUUCCAGAAAAUUUAUAAAAGUAGUUUUUAGAGUAAGGGCAAAACAGGCAAAACUCUAUAUUUCUAAAAGCACAAUGCUAUUUAUUGCAUAGUUUUGAAGUUUUUUUUUUUUUUUUCGUUUUCUUUGUAAAAGAUAUAGAAUUUUAGGGGCAAAUCAGUCACACACAACAAAACAACAUACUUACUUAUGGAAAAAUUGUUAAAAAUCAAAUUUUUAUAUAGUACAAUGUUAUUAGAUGUGGUAUCAUGUUACACAUGACAUGAUUUGAUGGUCACUAACUCAUUUGUUUUUUAAUUUCUUUUUUGAAAGAACAUUGACAUAAUUUGAAAGAACAAUGCCAUAAUGGACAAAUAAGGUUCCUGUUAGUGUUUUAGAUAAAAAAUUUGAAAAAACAUCAUAUUUUAGGAACAUAGCUUGAGAGUAUAAAUUGUAGUUUAGUAAAUAAUGUAUUAUAUAAUCAAUACUGUUUCCAAAUCCAUGUUAAUGUUGUAUGCACAUAGCCAUUGUUAAUUUCUCACCAGUUUAAGAAUAUUGAUGCUUUUCAAUAUUCUUAUAAUAAUAGUUUAAAUCUAAUGUUGGACACCAUUACUAGAUUUUUACUUGUUGGAGUACGAAGUGUUCACAUAAGGAGUAAGGAAAGUAAGAUGUUUAAAAAAUGUUCAUUAAUUGUUUUUCAUGAAUUCUCAACAUAAAGACAGAGUGAUAACAGGUAAUAAGAAAAGAGUAAAUGCAAGAAAUUGAAAAAGAAGGAGAUCAAAGUAAAGAAAAACCUAGAAAAAAAAUUAGAGAAGAAGACCACUGGAAAUCGUAUGCCUCAAUCUAAAAUCAUGAGAAUAACAGCUUCAAUGCAAUCAUAUAUAUAUAUAUAUAUAUUUCCAAAAAAGUAGGGAUCCUAAAGAUCAUAUAGGAGAUUUUCGGAUAUUUAUGUGGAAAUAAUAAAGGUAUCAAUUAAUGAUUCAAAAUUUCAAAUUAACUGAUAAUUUUCUGAUAUACACGACGUUACUAUUAUAAAAACUUAAAUGGUUUAGAAUAACUAGUUAACGGGGGAUCUAUAUGUAUGAAGAAAUGAUUAAAAAUAUAUGAUUUAAAUUCUAGAAGAAGAAGAAGAAGCUGUUGACCUGGCUCAUUUCAUCUUUUCUAUGGUUUAUCCUAUCUGUAUUAGGAUCAUUUGAGUAAUACUCUAUUUGUUGGUUAAGAACCCUUGAAAAUUUAUCAUGCAUGCCAUAAGCGUGGGCUGAUAAUACUGAUCAACCAUAAGUCCUGACAAAAUUUUGAUGAAUAUCUUCAAGAAAAUCAAAAGGAAUCCUUCCUACAAAAAAUAAUGUAUCAUCUACUUUGUCCAUAUUCUGCAAAUCAUCAAGUGACUUGCUCAAGCAAAAAGAUAAAAAUUACAUUGUUCAAAAAUGUUACUAUGAGAAGUUUGGAUUACCCAUGAUAAUUUAGUUCAACUUCCUUUUCAAUUCCAUAUAUAAGAAAACGAAGAAACGAAUUUGAUUUUCAAGUUUCAAUCUCUGUAUUUUGAACGAUAAUAAAGGCUAAAGUGGAAGAGCAAUUCAGUUAAUGCAAAAUCCUGAAUUUUGAAAAUUCCAACACUUGAAAUUUUUUAAGAUCGAAGAUCUAUGGAAGAAAUUAAAUUUAAACACACAAUUAGCAAUUCCUGUAUAUGGGAUUAGAUUUAAAAGGAAUGACAAAAAAUUUUGUUUUAAAUUUGGGAUGCUUUUAUUGGAAUUAAAUACAUUUCAUUUCAAAAAAGUAAUUCAUUGGAAGAUAUUAAAGAUUAUUGGAAUUAAAUCCAAUAAAAGGUGAUAUCAGCAAAAUAUCUAAUGGUGGAAAAGAUAGGGAUGAAAUGCAAUUAAAGGACCUGAUUAUUUAAGAUUAUGUCAGAAGGUUUUGUUUUUAAUAUAUAUUAGAGAUUAGAGAUUGUGAAUAUUUAUUGUUAUUUGGUUUUUUGCUAAUAUAUAAUAUAUUCUAUAAUGAAUAUUAGAAUUUUAAAAUUUAACAUUUAAACAAUUGAAAAUUUUAAUUUUCGAGAACUUAAGAAUCCCACAGUUACCUCUAAUUUCUGUAAUAUCUCAAAUUACAAUUACCAUUUUACCCUUGAAUAUAUAUUAAUCUGAUUUUGAAUUAUUUUUUUUACAGCAAAAUUAAUCUAUUCCUAAAACUACUCCUUAAAUCCACCUAUGCCCAUAACGAGACUUGAACCCAAAAUCUCAAGGAGGGAGGGCAACACUUGAUACCGCUGGACUAAAAUUAAUUACAAAAAUAGCUUAAUUAAAAAAAUGAUUGGUUGAGAAUCUUUCUAACUUUAUUUAAUAUUCUUAUUUGAAUCAUNAUAUAUAUAUAUAUAUAUAUAUAUAUAUAUAUAUAAAAUUUGGAAGUAAAGAGGAUAACUAGCAAAACUAUAUGCACACAAGACACAAUAUUUAUGUGGUUCGGUCAAGGUGACCUACGUCCACGGGCAGGAGGGGAGUAUUCUUUUAUUUUAGAGCUCUCAAAUAGGGGUUAUAAGUACAAUUACACAAAGAUUCACCUAUCACCCUAGAAUUCAAGAUACAAAUUAACGUAGCGUGCAUCCUUAUUUAUACUUGAGGUAUCAAACCUAAGACCAUAAUGGGCCAAGCCCAUUAGCCUAUAGGCCCAUGAAUGGAGGCAACCAAUCAUAUUCCUCCAUGCAACAUCUUCUGGAACAUUCUCGAGCAUCAUAGUGGACUUCAUAGCAUACUUGGCUCAUCAAAGACCAAGAUAGUCCAACUUGCACCAUGAUGGCGCAGCAAGUGUAUGGAUGGAGAAAUAGGCUUCAAGUGUGGCACAAGAACAUCAAGAUUCGAGCUACAGCACCACCUUUGAGAAAAAAGAACAUAUAUGUCACAACAAGGCCAUGCAUGGCGCAAGAGCGUACUCCAUGGCUUAAUAGGAGUACCCCAUGGUGCAAGAGGGAUCCUCAUGGCGCAAGAGGAACCCCUCAUGGAACAAGAGGGAGCAUAAUGGCGUAAGAAGGAAUGCCCAUGGCACAACAACAUCCUUCUUGGGCCAUCCCUUCAACAUAUGGCGCAACAAGGUUCCCUUGUUGCUUCACAUCACUCCCAAGUGCUCCAAACCCCCUUAUGUAUGAUCCGUUCCUUUGGCACUUGAUCCGUUCCUUUGUCAGACGAUCCAUUCCUUUGUCAGACGAUCUAUUCCUUUCUCAGAUGAUCCAUUCCUUUGUCACAUGCUUCUUGAACCCCAAGUGCUCCAUUGAUUUCCAAGUGUUCCAAAUACUCCAUGAACACGAUCCAAAUUAUCCAUGAACAUGAUCCAAGUGCUCGAGUCACAUUUAACAAUCUCCACCUUGAUUUGAGCAUCCUCUAAACUCCACAUCGGAUAAGAAAUUCCUCUCCCUUGCCGCCAUUCGUCCCCAAAGGGACUUACCUCCUACGAACAUUAACCAAGUCCAAACAAAGCUUGAAAUUCUCUGUGGGCAACGACUUUGUCAACAUAUCUGCUGGGUUGACCUUGGUAUCAAUCUUUAGUAUUGAAAAAUUGUCUCCUUCCAGAAUAUUCUGAAUGAAAUUUAGCCUGAUAUCAACGUGCUUCGUCUUCUCGUGAUAUACAUGGUUCUUUGCAAGACACAAAGCACUUUGACUGUCACAAUACAAGACAUGGUUCUCCACCUUCAGACCAAGACUCUGAAUAAGCCCUUGCAACCAUAUCUCCUCCUUUAUUUGUUCCGUCAUGGACAUGUACUCAGAUUCAGUUAUAGACAAAGCAACAGUAUCGUGUAACGUUGAUUUCCAAAUGAUGGCACAUCCAAAUAAAGUGAAUAUAUAGCACUUCCAUGACCUGCACUCCAUCAAGUCACCACCAUAAUCAGAGCCAACAUAUCCCCCUAAGUUACUCUUCGUAUUUGCUCCAUACACCAAGAAAACAUCCAACGUUCCCUUUAAGUAUCACAAGAUCCACUUUACAGCUUCCCAAUGAGUCUUCCCUGGAUUACUCAUAAACCUACUAACCACACAAACUGCAAGAUCCAAAUAAGGUUUGGUACAGACCAUACCAUACAUGAGACUUACAACAAAACUUGAGUAUGGAACCCUACUCAUGUACUUCAUUUAUUCAUUAGUAGUGGGUAUAGUUUUUGGACCAAGUUUAAAGUGAGCCGCCAUAGGAGUUCCAACUGACUUGGACUAAUCACAAUUGAUAGAUUGUAGAAUUUUCUCAAUGUAUUUAUGUUGAGAAAUACAUAACCGCCCUGCUCUUCUAUGCCUUUGUAUCCCCAUUCCAUGUAUCUUCUUUGCUGCUCCCAAAUCCUUCAUUUCGAACUCAUUUUUCAGGUUCGCCUUCAAUUCAUUUAUUCCAACCAUGUCCUUGGUUGCGAUGAGCAUAUUAUCAACAUAUAACAACAAAUAUAUGUGGGAAUCCAGUGACAAUUCCUUUGAGUAAACACAAUUGUCAAACUGGUUCUGAGUGUAGCUCUUCGAGAUCAUGAUUGAAUUAAAUCUCUUGUACCAUUGUCUUGGAGACUGCUUCAAACCAUACAAGGAUUUAUUCAUGAAACAUACGUGAUCCUUAGUAGAAUCAAGGAAACCUUUUUUAUGGGACAUAUAAAUAUUCUCUUCUAAGUUCCUAUGAAAAAAAUGCAGUUUUCACAUUAAAUUGUUCAAGCUUCAAAUCAAAUGCACUCACCAUGGCCAAAAGAACCCGAAUUGUCUUGUGUUUCACGAUCAAUGAGAACACCUCGUGAUAAUCAAUUCCUUCUUUAUGAGAAAACCCUUUUGUCACCCAACUUGCCUUGAACCUAGCUGGAUCAACUCAUAGUACCAAUUCUUUCUUCUUAAAGAUCCAUUUGCAUCCUACUGGAUUUGCUCACUUUGGUAAAGGAACAAGAUCCUAUGUUUCAUUCUACUCUAAAGAUUGCAUUUCUUCAUUCAUGGCCAUCAACCAUUCAUUUGCUUCUUUACUAACCAUAUCCUCUUUAUACGAUUGAGUCUCGUUGGUAUCAAUGUCUUUUCCAGUUGCUAAAGCCAAAGCAAUAGAGUCUAGUUCACCUGAAUUCACACAUCCUACAUAUCUAUCUCGUUGUCGAAUGACCCUAUUUGAUAUUCUCUUUGCUAUAGAUUCAGACAUAUCAUCCUUCCCGAAACCAUCACUACUAGACGAAGAUCCCAUGGGUUGCUCUUGGGUUUCAUCUUGUCCAGGUUGUAUAUAGCCACCUUGCUCUUUGUUACUUACCAUAACUCUUUCUGGAGUUUGAGCUGUAAACUCCACCUUCUGGCUAGCACCUUGAUCUGUGUUCCUUUCUUGAAUUAUAUCACCUCCUCCCUGGUUAUCCAUGGCAGAUUCAUCAAAGGUCAGAUCUCUGCUCAUGAUAAAUUUAGGAGUUCUUCCUUCUUCUGUACACCACAGUCGAUAAACUUUUACUCCUGUCGCAUAUCCUAGAAAUAUGCACUUCAUUUCCUUUGGCUCAAGUUUACCAUCAUUCACAUGAGCAUAUGCGAGGCAUCCAAACAUAUGUAAACUAGAAUAGUCAGAGGUUUUCCCAAACCAAACCUCUUAAGGAGUCUUCAAGUCGAUUGCAUUUGAUGGUGAUCUGUUCACCCGAUAGCAAGCAAUGUUAACUGCUUCCGCCCAUAAUUGUUUGGAUAAGUUAGUAAAUAUUUGCAUACACCUAGCAUGCUGCAUGAGUGUUUGGUUCAUCCAUUCUACCACUCCAUUUUUCCGUGGUGUGUGUCGCACAGUGCAGUACCUCACUAUAUCUUCUGCCCUGCAGAAAUUAUCAAAUGGAGCAUUGCAGAGCUCCAACCCAUUGUCAGUCCUCAGAGUCUUGAUCUAUUUUCCAGUCCUUUUCUCAACCAUGGUCUUACACUCCAUGAACUUCCCAACACCUCAUAUUUGGUCUUCAAAAAGUAAAACCAAACCUCCUUGAAUAGUUAUCAAUGAACGCCCAAAGUAUGAACAUUCUCCUUGAGAAUUCACUGGUGUAGGACCCUACAGAUCUGAGUGAACAUACUCCAGGAUUUCCUUGCUUCUGUGUUGACCGGUACCGAACUUCAUUUUGCGAUGCUUUCCCUUAAUGUAAGCUUCACAAAACUUUGUAUUUCCCGUAGCGUCUCCACCAAGUAGUCCUUGUUUACUUAGAACUGACAUGCCCUUUUCAUUCAUGUGCCCCAAACUACAAUGCCACAACUCUGUCUUUUCAUCACCUUCAUUCAAGGAUUGAGAGAUAGCUACCAUUCCCAUAACCGUACCGCCUUCUAGGAUAUAGAUCCCUCCACGAUUCAUCUUCCCUUACAUUAUAACCAGAGAGCCUUUAGUCACUUUGACCCAGUCACCUUCACCAACAUACCUCAUUCCAUUCUUAGCCAAUGUGCCAAGAGAAAUCAAAUUCUUCCGAAGUUAUGGAACGUACCAGCAAUCUAAUUUCCUGACCAUGCCAUCGUGUGUCUUGAUAUGCACCGUGCCACUACCUUUGAUACUGCUCACCCAUUCAUCACCCAUCUUGAUUAUGCCAUCUACUCUUUGAAGGAGUCGAACCAGUCAUGAUUAUAUGUCAUGUGAUAGGAUGCUCCAAAAUCUAAGACCCAAGCAUCAUCAGAACUUGAUGUACUCACAGUCAAUACAUCAACUCCGUCCCCUUCAUCAGAACAUUCCUGAACCACAAUAGCAGUGUUAUUGUUGCUUGAUUCACUCUUGAAUUUCCCAUUCUUCAGUUGUGGACAAUUUUGCUUGAACUGUCCCUUCUCCUUACAGUUAUAACAUUUCGCGUUCGAUGAACCUUUAGACUUUGAUUUCGAACGUGAUCUCUCUCUGCUUCCCCCUUUCAUCUCCUUUGUCCUUGCUCUCCCUACAAACAAAACGGAGCUGGAAACCACUUCUUCAACUAAAACUUUUCUUUUUAGUUCCUUGGACAUUAGCGAUUCCUUCACAUCAUUCACAAUGAUCGUUGUCCUACCAUAGAGCAUGGUAUCAAUGAAAAUCUCAUAUGAGUUUGGAAGAGAACAUAAGAGAAUGAGCGCCUGAUCUUCAUAUUCAAUCUUCACAUCAACCCCUUGUAGAUCCAAGAUGAUGCGAUUGAAGUUAUCCAUAUGAUCUUUCACUUGGGUACUUUCAAACAUUCUAAGAGUGUACAACCUUUGCUUAUGAUAUACCCUGUUCGUCAGUGAGUUGUUCUGGUACUUGUCACAAAUUUUAUCCCAGAGCCCAGUAUGUAACAUCCCAAAAAUCAUGACCAAAAAUUUCAUUUUAAACCAUUAAAUAAAACCAUAGUUAUCACCAUUCCAUCAAAACAUGAGUCAAAGUAUUCGAAAACAUUAUUAUCAGAGUUUCCAAAUCAAAACAUCAGAGUAAACAUCCCACGCUAAACAUCAUGGUGUGUGCAAUGCAGUCAUCCCGAGCCCUUCUCUUUGCAACUGGAAGUACCUGAAACCAAAAAUGAAAACCGUAAGCACGAAGCUUAGUGAGUCUCCCAAACUACCACAUAUCAUACACAUAAUCACGUAAACUGGGACCCCGCUCCUUCAUCGGGCCCCGCCCGACAUCGGACAAUGUCCGACAUCAGACCCUGCCUGGCAUCAGGCCCUGCCUGGCAUCAAGCCCCGCUCAGUAUCCAUAUCUGUUCCUCCCAGGCCCUGCCUGUCACUAGGCCCCACCCGUGAUACACAUACAAACAAUAUCAUAUAAUCAUGCUAGCACAUAAAUAAUAAUACACAAUACUAUAUGUCCCAAUAGUAAGGCCUCGCCUAUUAUGGGCCCCCUACUUUGCUAAUGAUGAGAUAUGGAACCCCGUCCACACUCAACUAGUGAUGAGAUACGGUUCCCCGACCACACUCACCUCCCUACCAGGCACAUACAAGUAUCACGAAGACAGCAAGUAUAACUAACAUAAAUACAUUCAUCGGGUACCACCCGCCAUCGAACCGUAGACCAGAAUCAUACAUAUAAACAUUCCUCCGCCCCACCCGACAUCAGACUAUAAUCUGGAAACAUACAAACAUUCCUCGAGCAUUGCCUGACAUCGGAUCGAAAUUUAGAAAUACAUAACAUAAAUACGGGCCGACAUUGGUGCCUUCGACCCAUUCAAACAGGAGGAAACUCACCUCGUAAAGCUGAAUCUCAUGGAUAAUCCUCUGGCUGCUAGCUGGCAGAUCCCCAAACUAUCGAUCUCUUGAAUCCCUGAGCUACUAUUACCAAAAUAACACCUAGUCCAGAAACCAAUAAUCCUCCUUAAGGUAAAAUGACCAUUUUACCCUUGAUCUAAUUUGGUCAAUGCCUAAGACCCAAAACCAUAACAUGAAAGGCCCAAUACUAGGUAGACUUCCCAAGCCUACUAGUGGCCCAUUAAUGGCCUAUUUUUCUAAAUUGGGCCCAACCCCUCUAAUGGGCCGUACCCUAAAGCCCAAACAUAUUCUUAGCCCAAAAUAUUUGGCUUCUGAUGGCCCACUAAGGCCCAAAGAAACAAAGUCCAAUAAAAUGGCCCAAACCGACGCCCAAAAACGGCAAAGCCCAAAUCUGUUGACUACGAGGGGCGUGCUACUCAGUAAGGUAAGAGUACAGGUUGUAUGGCUUGUACGCCCAAUGUACUGCUCUGUUAAGCCACUUCUACCAUUAAGCACUUAAUACUUUAUUCUAAAGGAUAAAAUCAUAGAUCCAAGUCCUCUUCAACAUCUUAAUCCAUAAAGACACUGACUUGGUGACUUUAUUUGACCCACAUGAACCCAAACUCAAAGUAUUGCAAUAUACUUCCAUGAAAAUGGCCAUAACUCUUGCAUAAACCAAAUAAGACCUUCAAGAUGGUAACUUUCUACCUUAGGGACUCAUAUAGCACCAAGGGUGACAACCCUUAGCCUAGAAAUGGAUUUGGAACCAUAAAGCUCCAUUCUUGGGACCAAAGAGGUCCAAAAACUAAACACAAGAGAUCUAAGCAUUCAAGAGGAAAGUUCAAGACUUUAUAGCUGACGAAGAUCUGAAAUGGAGCAACAAUCCUGGAUCUACACCUUCUUCUUUGAACCACCACCUUGCUUCAACCUUCACUUCCUUGGGGAAUGGAUCAAAACACUAAGAAUACUCUCAAAAGGCCUUCCAAGCACAAGAACACUCACAAUAUGGAUUAGGGUUUAGUAGUAGCUUCUUUACGGUGAGAAGGAGGCUGAUCUUGAGGCAUAAUGUUCCUUAUAUAGUGUUAUACCCUAAAAUUUAUGGUUUUGGUCUGAAUGGAGUACGCCCUGCGUACCUCUUAGUACGCCCGACAUACACACAAACCACCCGCGACCAUAGAACUUUAUACGCCGGGCGAAACCCAACUUACGUUGGGCGUUCCCAGCCGAACACAUGCAGGCAUCCCUUGCAUGCAUGGGACUUAUCUGCCAAACAUUUCUAUUAGGGGCUAAAUCUGCCAAAACCUUCAAAGUGCUAUAACUUUUUCGUUCUAAGUUCAUUUCCGACGAACUUUAUAUCCAUGGAAAGGUGACGAGAAGCCCUAUGCUUCUAACAACUUCUCAUUACCUAAAAAAUUUCCGAACAAGAACACAAAAUCCCUAGAAGGUCAAGAUGUCAAAUUACGAUCAUACCCUUGGCCUCCGAAGACACAAUCAAACACUUGGGUCACGUAUACCCUAAUACCCACAUCAGAAAUGGGCCAAAUCCUUCCCUUCCCAAGACCAUAACCCUUAAAACAACUGAUGAUUCGGCCGCAACCCUAGAAGUGAGGCACUUUUACAACUGGAUGUUACAUAGUAAUAGUUGUUUGAUUAACGACCUCCUUCAAUACUUCAUCUGUUAAGCUCAACAGAAUGACACUAUGUUCUUUCGUCAGAAUGUCCACCUUCUUCUCAGCCGCCAUGCCCUUUGGCAGUUUUGCCUCUUUUUCCAAUGUCGUUGCACAACCUUGUUGACCCACAAGAGCCUUCAACUUCACCUUCCACAUGGUGAAGUCAUUUGAACCAUUGAAUUUCUCCAAAUCAAACUUGCGAGUAGACAUCUUCAAUCACAGAAAUACAAACCACAACUUUGAUACCACUUGUUAGGAAGUAAAGCGGAUAACUAGCAAAACUACAAGCACACAAGACAUAAUAUUUACGCGGUUCGGUCAUGGUGACCUAUGUCCACGGGUAGGAGGGGGUAUUAUUUUAUUUCAGAGCUCUCAAACAGAGGUUACAAGUACAAUUACACAGAGAUAUUCCUAUCACUCUAAAAUUCAAGAUACGAAAUGACCUAGUAUGCAUCCCUAUUUAUACUAGAGGGAUCAUACCUAAAACCUUAAUGAGCCAAGCACAUUGGCCCAUAGGCCCAUGAAUGGAGGCAACCAAUAAUAUUCCGCCACGCAACAUCUUCUGGAACAUUCUCGAGCAUCAUAGUAGACUUCAUAGCAUACUUGGCUCAUUAAGGACCAAGAUAUUUCAACUGACACCAUGAUGGCACAACAAGUGUAUGGAUGUCGCCACAGGCUUCAAGUGUGGCACAAGAACAUCAAGAUUGGAGUAACAACAUCCCCUUGGCGCAACAGGAACAUACAUGGGACAACAAGGCCAUGCGUGGAGAAAGAGCAUACUUCAUGUCUCAACAUGAGUGCCCCAUGGCGCAAGAAAAAAUGCCCUUGGCGCAACAACAUCCUUCUUGGCCCAUCCCUUCAACAUAUGGCGCAAUAAGGUUUCCUUGUUGCUCCAUAUCACUCCCAAGUGCUCUAAACAUAUUCUAUGUGCUCAAAACCCUCGUCUGUAUGAUCUGUUCCUUUGUUAGACGAGUGCUCCAUUGAAUUCCAUGUGCUCCAAAUGCUCAAUGAACAUGAUCCAAAUGCUCACAUUUAACAUAUAUAUAUAUAUAUACAUAUAUAUAUANNNNNNNNNNNNNNNNNNNNNNNNNNNNNNNNNNNNNNNNNNNNNNNNNNNNNNNNNNNNNNNNNNNNNNNNAAUGAGAGAAAUAACACUUGUGGUUUAUUAAUAUAUUAUAAGUUCUAAUAUAUUAAUAGUAUUAUUUAAUUAGUAUUGAUCAAGAAUUAAUUUGGAAUUAAUUAAGUGAUCAAAAGAUAACUAAUUAAAUAUAUGGGUUGAUUAUGUAAAUCAUCCAUAACUUGUAUAGUGGGCUAAAAGGCUCCAUGGAUUACCAAGUUGGGUUAAACCUAUAGGAUGCUCCAUGGGAGUUACAAACCCAUGGGCCAUGGAAAUGAAGAGUCAUGUCACAUUAGGGUUUACAUGGUGUAACCUUAGAUGUGACACACUAUAUAAGGAACAUGUUAUCUACCAAAAUCGGCUACACACUAAGGAAAAGAGAGGGAAAGCCGAUUUUUAGAGUGUUAUACAUUCUUUCAAAGCCAUUCCAAAGCAUUUGGUGUUGUGUGAAGCAUUUGAGGCAUCACACUUGGGGUGCUAGGCUCUCAAGGUUUUCAAGGAAUCAAAUCAACUACAAGGUAUGUAAUUCUAAACAUCUUUUAGAAUAAAAGUUUCCCAUGUAUGCUAGAUAGGAAUAUGAACCUUGGAUAUCAUAUUUUGCAUGUAUCUUAGAAAAACAUAGAUCCAAGGUUUUCUAGGGUUGCAUGUACACUUAGGGGUGUUAGAGUGCUGAAAACCCUUCAGUGGUAUUAGAGCCUAGGCUUGUUUGUAAAUACUUGAUGCAAAAUAGUGAUAAAAGUCGAUUUUUUGCUGUCUGCACAGGGGACUCGACGAGUCCAUGGGGAGGACUCGACCCAUGGACUCGUCGAGUCCAAGUGAAAAUGCAACCAACUCGGCGAGUCAGUUCGUGCACUCAACGAGUUGGUCAUGCAGAAUGCAGAAAUUUGAUUUUUGCUGCUGGAAAUGGACUAGAAACAUUACCCUAAAUUGUUUUGGUGUUGUAAAACUUGUUUUAGAUGAUGUAGUUGUUGUUCUAAUCCAUUUACAAUGGCUAAUAUCAAAUUUUCAUGAUUAUAUGUGCCCAUAUGUUCUUGAAACUUUGAUAUGAAUAUUCAUGUUCUUAUGAGUUUUGAUAGAUCAUAGGAGUUACUUUUUUAAAUGAUUAAUUCAUGAUCUUUAUGUGUUUUAAUGGAGUCCAUAACUUGUCCUCAAGUUAUGGAUAACCAAAAGUAUCUUUGUGUUAGAACCCAUUAAAAGAACACAUAAGUUAUAAAAUGAAGAGUCUUCAUUUUAAUGACUCAUAAGUUAUGAAUGUGAAAGGUUUUGUAAAGUUACAAAACUUGCCCUCAAGUUUUGGAACAUGUAAAUCACUUAAUAAACUUUAGUUCCAACCCCUAGAUUUUUAAAAGUUAAAAAUCAACCCAUAUACUUUAUANCCUUAUACUUAUAUUAUUAUGAUUUAAUAAUUAUAUAUAUAUGUAUAAGAACAAAGUCGUCUUACCGCUAGUACGCCUCAUUCACGAAGCCGGUCUAUAAGGUGGGUAUAAGGUUGUUGCCUAUAAAAUGGUGACUUAAUGGGUGUCCACUCUCACCCACCGCUUGCUUGAUCGGUGGAGGGUCGUUAGCCGAACGGGUAAGACAAGGACUUAUUAAUUCUCAUUCAAAGUAUGAUGAAUAUUAUAAAGUAACUAAAUGUUUUAUUAAAUUCCCAAUCUUAUGUUACUUUAGAAAAAUGUGAAAAAGGUGCUAAUCCAUGAAAUUACACUUUACACUUUGUUUAAGUCGUUGGUGGAGCGUGUGUGGUUAACCGGUACACUAACUUNGACUUAACAAGGUAGGUAAAGGGUGACUUAGGGUUUAUUAUAGUAUCGAUGGAGCGCGUGUGGUUAACCGGCACAUCGAUUGAGUGAUAAACUUUAAGGGUACCAAGUGAUUUGCAUGGUUACUUCACACCUCGUUUUGUGAUCCUCGGUAUCCCAGUCACAAAACUUGGAGGGCACACUUGAGAUUGAAACAUGCCUUUGAAAAGUUCAUUGAAUCUCAAAAGAAUCUAGGAAUUUCUAAGAAUCAAUUAAAAACCUAAUAUUUAUAUUUCGUUUUUCAUGGUGGAAAUUGGUGAAUUGUCAUUCACCUACCUUUAAAAUAUGUUAUAGCUUAGAUUACGACAUACCUCUUCUAAGUUACAAUAUAUUGUGAUUGGAUCCUAGACUUAAUAUUACAUUUAGGUGUUUUAUUAAGGACUCUCUUAAUAUCUAAACUAAUCUUGUUAUCUUCUUUUCAGAUUUCUUCCAACAACACUGCUUCUGGCUCAAACCCUACUGGCUCCUUUUCCCUCAUGAAUCUAUGUGGGAGGUUCAUCUUCGAUGGUUCCAACUUUAUCGAUUGGAUCUGGAACAUCAGGAUGGUGACUCGUUAUGAGGACAAGGAAUAUGUCCUCGAUAAGGAGCUAAAGGAGAUCGAUGAGUCGACUGCUACUCCGCAAGAGAUCGUUGACUUUUGGACUCAUGAAAGAGAUCCCACCAAAGUGGCAUGCAUCAUGAUGGCCACCAUGACAGCUGAACUCCAGAAGUCCUAUGAGGACUACUACCCUUUUGAGAUGCACCAAGAUAUGAUGGAAAGAUACCAUCAGAGUGCUCGUCAAGAGUGGUAUGAAAUAAUCUGCUCCAUGAUAAUAACCAGGAUGAAGGACGGAGAUUCAAUUACGAGACACAUGCAUAAAAUGCAAAGGUAUGUGGAUCAUUUGCUGAAGCUUAAUGUGGACUUCCCUGAGGAGCUUGCAAUAGAUAUCAUUUUGCACUCCUUACCUUCGUGUUAUGAUCACUUCCGUAUGACAUAUCACAUGAAUAAAAAAGAAGUCACACUUAGCAAACUUCAAGGACUCUUAAAGACCGCAGAAACAUGUCUUAAAGGUAAGUCGGUUAUUAACUCUCCUACUCCUACUCCAAACUCCACCCCUAUCUUGGCAAUCGGGAAAGAUAGAGGGAAGAAGAGGAAGAGAUCUUCUAAGGGUACCAAGGCUAGGAACCUUGAUGGAUCUUCUUCAAGUGGAACCAAGAAAUGUUUCGUCACUUCUUCUUCUGACCCAAAAGAGGCUGAAUGAUUCUAUUGCCAUGAAAAGUCGCACUGGAAGCAGAACUGCCCAAAGUACCAGCAAGAUGUGAAGGAUGGGAAAGUUAAACCUAACCAUGCAGGUAUUUACACUAUUCUAUCUAAUAACUCACCCUAUUCUAACUCUUGGGUCCUUGAUACAGGUUGUGGUAUUCAUAUCUGUUCUGAUUUGCAGGGACUAAGAAGAAGUGAGAAUGUGGAGCAUGGAAAGAUAAACUUGAUCAUGGGGAAUAGGAAAGCUUCACCAGUCACCAAGAUUGGAGUUUAUUCUUUGUUGCUAAGUAGUGGGUUUACUUUAGAUUUGAAUAAAUGUUGUUAUUCUCCAGAAAUGACAAGAAAUAUUAUUUCCUUUCAUGCGUUGUACAAACAAGGGUUUACCUUUUCUUUUGAUAAUGAAAUUGGUGGAAUAAAUGCUUUCUUUAAUAAUGUUCUUUAUUUUAAAGCAUUACCUUGUGAUGGUGUGUAUGAAGCUAUAUCUGUUGUAGAUAAUCUAGGAAAUAAUGUAUUGUGUAUUGAUUCUUCUGAUAAUAAUAACCUGGAUAAAGCAUCGUUAUGGCAUUGUCGUCUUGGACAUGUGAGCAAGAAACGCAUAGGUCAAUUCCAAAAGGAUGGAGUCUUGGAGUCAUUUGACCUGAAGUCAGAUGAUAGUUGUGAAUCAUGCUUACUUGGAAAAAUGACAAAGUCACCCUUCACUGGUUCUUGUGCUAGUGGUGAAGGUUUGUUGGAUCUGGUACACAUGGAUGUGUGUGGACCCUUCAAAUCUGCCACAAGGGAUGCUAAUCGUUAUUAUUUGACUUUUACUGAUGAUUAUAGUAGAUAUGGAUAUGUGUAUUUAAUCAAGCAUGAGUCAGAGACUUUUGAAAGGUUUAAGGAGUUUAAACAGGAAGUCGAGAAUCAAUUGGGCAGGAACAUUAAGAUGCUUCGAUCCGAUCGAGGUGGAGAGUAUCUUAGUACAGAGUUCCUUGACUAUCUUAAGGAAUGUGGGAUUAUCUCACAAUUGACACCUCCCAGGACACCACAGCUUAAUGGUGUGGCUGAGAGGCGCAAUUGAACCUUGUUGGAUAUGGUUUGUUCCAUGAUGAGUCGAACUUCGCUACCAAUCUCAUUUUGGGGGUAUGCCUUAGUGAUUGCCGCCCAUAUCCUUAAUCUGGUCCCUACAAAGAAAGUUGCCAAAACUCCUCAUGAUAUUUGGAAUGGUAAGGUUCCCAAACUAGACCACAUCAAGAUUUGGGGUUGCGAGGCUUUCGUGAGACGCGAGACUCAUGAUAAGCUCGAACCUCGAAGUGAGAGGUGUAUUUUCAUCGGCUACCCACAUAAAUCCUUUGGUUACAUCUUCUACAGACCUAGUGACAAUGUGGUCUUUGUAGCAAGGAGGGGUUUCUUUCGAGAAAGAGAGUUCAUAAGCCAAGGAAACAGUGGGAGCCAAAUUGACCUUGAAGAAAUUGAAGAGUCAAGUGGUGAAGGAACUUCAAAUCCUAGCACUUAACCUGAGGAGGAAACUCCUAUUGAGACAAUUGACAAGUCUGUACCUCUAAGGCGUUCAACAAGGGUUAGGAAUGCACCUGAGCAUUAUUAUGGUUUCCAUAUUACUACGAAAGGUGAGACACUUAUCAGUGAUGAGACAUUGGUAAGUCUGGAUGAACCUAACAGUUACGUGGAAGCCAUGGUAGGCCCCGAGUCUUCCAAAUGGAAAGAGGCAAUGGACAGCGAGAUACAAUCCAUGUAUGAAAAUCAAGUUUGGAACUUCGUUGACAAUGUACCAAGUCGUAAGACAGUUGGGUGCAAAUGGAUCUUCAAGAAGAAGACCGAAAUGGAUGGUAAUGUACACACAUAUAAGGCGUGACUGGUUGCAAAGGGUUUUUCUCAAACUCCGGGAGUUGAUUAUGAUGAGACCUUUUCACCAGUUGCAAAGAUUAAAUCCAUUAGGGUUCUGUUAGCCAUUGCUGCAUUUCAUGAUUAUGAAAUAUGGCAAAUGGAUGUCAAAACCACCUUCCUUAAUGGAAGUUUGGCUGAAGAUGUUUACAUGAGUCAGCCAGAGGGUUUUGUCAGCAUAGAAUACCCUAAUAGAGUGUGUAAGCUCGAGAAAUCCAUUUAUGGAUUGAAACAGGCACCUCACAGAUGGAAUCUUUGCUUCGAUGAGAAAGUGAAAGAGUUUGGCUUUUCGAGGAGUGAAGAUGAAUCUUGUGUCUGUGUCAAGGCUAGUGGGAGUAUAGCUAGAUUUUUGGUACUGUAUGUGGAUGGCAUACUUGAUGGGUUUUGGUCCUAAGAACAUCCUAUGUGCUCAUACAAACCCUAAUGCUUGGAUCUAGGUUUCUCUAUUGUACAUGCAAGUUAUCCAAGACUAUAAACCCUAAUUCUAACAUUCAAGUAAUCAUAUUAACAUGAGAAUAGGUUUAAGAUGUUACCUUGAUUGUUAUGUAGCAAUAACAAUCCCAAAUCUCCUUGUAUUGACUUUAGAAAGCUUAGAGUCACAAAUGUCACUCCUCUAAUGGUUCACAAACACCAUAAGCAAGAGGAUGAAGAGGAGAGAGGAUGGAGGCUUCCCUAAAACGUGUGAAACCCUAGAAGGUUGCUUAUCCACGUUUUUGGGCCUUAAGGGGUCUAUAUAUAGUGAGGCAAUUAGGGUUAUCUAACAAGGAAACCCUAAUUUGGUUGCUUAAGCCCUAAGCAACCCAUGGAGCCCUUUCCUUAAGGCCUUGGACGAUUUCAUAUGGGCUUCCCCCAUAGAAUUCGUCCACCUUAUAAUAAAAGGCAAUCCAUGGCCCAAAUUGCAAUUAUCUUAUAAUUACAAUUCCAGUCCCUUAAGUUUAAUUAAUCUCUUUUAGUCACAAAACUAAUUACCAAUUAAUUAUUGACUAAUAUUAAUUAAACAAUAUGAUUUCUCCUUUAAUAUAUUAUUCUCAUAAUAUAUUAAUAAAUCAUAUUUAAUCCUUUCUCUCCAUAAUUCAUCCUAUCAAGUUGCUUUGGUGAAGGCAACCCAAAAGGACCAUGCACCAUCGGGUCAAGUACAUACCAAAAUAGUUAUGGACUUAGACACUAAUCCAACAGUCUCCCACUUGGAUAAGUCUAAUAACUAUUAUGCGUAUGACUUCAGAUCCUGAUCUGCAAUCGUAGCUUUCCAAAGCCGCUGUCAACUCUGAUCCUAUCAGAUACGCGUGUCCUUAGAUAAGGGAUCAUAUAUUCCUCCAUUCUAGAUAUCAUAUGAGAUAUGAUUUCAAAUCAUUCUCUUUGUACUAUAUCUCGAUUCCCGAUUUAUGACGACUGACUAAUUGAACAAAUCAAAUUAGCCCUAGCCCGGCCGAGCAUUUACGUUUGUCAUCACUAAAUCAUCGAGGGGCCCAAAGAUAUCGCUUUUAUCCUACUUUGGAUAAAAGGAACGGAUAAACUUUGAUACAAUGCUUGCUUGCACUCACUCACCGAAUCACACACAACAAUAUGUUUUAUAACACCAAGUUACUAGUGCGUUUACAUAUUAUCAAUGUGCAACCGAUUUGCAAGAUACAACUCACACAUCUCGGUUUCAAGAAUAUAAGAUGUUAUCGUCUCACCAAUCACUCGUGAUACAAUUCAUGGAGUGAUCCAAGUGAGCGUGGGUUUAAUCCAAUGCUCAAAUCAUAUUCAUAAGCACUCAUGAACGUUGCAGCAAACAUUUGCUUAUGUCUAAUACUCUUUAGACAAUCCACACACCAAUUCACGACAGUCUUCAUUCAUAUCUACUUCCAACAUAUGAACGACUGUGGCCCGUUCGAAUAAUUCGAUUAUUCUUAAUAAACUCAAUUAUUCUGGAAGUCAAAACAUGCAAAUGUGAAACACAAGAAUAAUACUAAUCCCAUAUGGCCUCAAACCUUUGAGUAUAAAUAAAACACCUUUUAUUUAUCACCAUAUCGAUUACUCAUUAUUUGUCGUUUCGGGUAAUCAACUUCUUACUUGAAUUAUUACACUUGUCCCAUGCUCCUAGCAUGCACACAAUGUUUACCUAUGGUUCUUACUUUGUGAAAUAGAUCAAAUUGAACACAUUUCCAAUCAUUCUCAUUUCACAACUCCAAAUCCUUUUUCAUAAGUGUAAGAAUAUCAAAUUCUUGCUACUUAUAGAAUAUGCUAGAUUCUAACAUUCUAUGCAACUAUCCUUUCGUAAUGUCACUGCACCAAAGUCACAAAGACUAUUGCCAAUGAUAUUACAAAGUCCUCUAUCGGAGAUUGUUACAAGACAAUUCCAUAGAUGUGAUGUCUCUCACUCAAAGUACAUUCUUUGAACAUCCUUUUGCAUAGAAGUUUCUAAUCUAGUCAUAGAUUUCUCAAUAUUCAAUUCCCAAUAUGGACACACUUCCAUAUGUUCCAUAUGACAACUCAUUCUUAAUAGAAUCUUAUCUAUUCGUAAUGAUGUCGAUAUGGUCCAUCCAAUAUGGAAACAUUUCCAUAUUUUCCAAUACUAUACUUCCAACUACUCACAAGCGACCAAUCCUCGUCGAACUUGGGAUUGUCCUUUGAUAGUUGUUUAAUUAUUUUAGUCAAAACCGAUUCUAGUCCCUUUUCCCUCUAAAUGCGCUCGACAUUUGGAAAAUUUUAGAAUGGUCAAACAUUAAAGCAUUUGCAAUCGAUCCUAUACCCGAAGCGUAUGGGACACGACGCAUAAUGUUUUAUUUGCUAUGUUCUCAAAAUUCGAAUUGUGAAGAGGGAUGCCGUAAUCAUAAUCGAAAUUUUAAGAACACACUAUGUACCUUUGACUAAAUUUAUUAACAUUUCUCAACCUAAUCCUUUAGAUUUGAAAUGAAGCAUAAUAUUCUCUCCCUUAAUUAUAGCAAAACAACUUUUCAACUCUUACAACUUUGCAAAGUAUGACUCUUGUUUUCUAUAAUUAAUAUUGCUAACCUUGCAAUACUUUCCUUAAUAAUCAUACAAUCAUAACAUUUAUGCUCCCACUAUCAUGAUGAUUAUUAUAAAACAUAACACUUAUGCUCCCACUAGCUUCGACAUGUAUUCAUAAACAUCUUAACUUUCAGAAAACAAUACUUAUUGAAUUUCUUAAGUUCAUGUUUCUAAUACUUAGUGCUUUGAUAAUCCUUUAUCAAUGCUUCUUGAACUUAUACACCUUUGCCUUCGAUAGUUCAUAUGUGUGUCUAAACAAUUAAGACUAAUUGCCAAACCUCACAAUUCAAAUUAUGGAAAGGGAUGCCGUAACCAUAAUUGAAUUUGAGAAUGCAAUUUUACAAUCACUAUCUUCUUAAAAUCUCUCUUAGUGAAAGCAUUUCUUCACAAUCAUUUUCAUGAAGGAGGAAAUCUUAUGACACUUAGAUUUGAGCGGUGUAUGUGUUCCUAUCCAUGUGAAUUUGUUAAAACCAAAGUUUACGACAAAUUCAAACUCAUAUGGACCGAACUUUCUUAAUCUUGAUUUCUUGCCUUAUGGUAGCACAGCUGCCCACCAUGUCUUCCAAGUAGUUAAGCAGCUCACCUUUUCCUAUCAAUGUACCUUUCAUUGAUUAAGGUGCUUUGCCUUUUAUGCGUUCAAAAUGAGAACUCAUAGAACUCACAUGCAUAAUUAACUCGAUUGGAUUGGCACAGAAUCAAAAUAAUGUCAACACGAUAGGUUGUAAACCUCAACUCGUGUGCUAGUGAUGAUCGAUAAGGUUUAUUUGAUUUGUUCUUGAAACCUUUCAAGACCAUUAAGACUCCCACUGACUCCUUGACAUAUAAGAUUCUCUUGUCAAUAACCAUUUCUUGACAAACAAAUAUUCAAGAGUUAGUGUAGCUUUUAUCAAAACACUUCAUAAAUUGGUCCUAGUUGGUCUUUGUCUUAUCCAAGACAUCACAACUUUCCACAUUUGAUGAAUGUUAUAAACCUUCUUAAUACUUUUCACUCAUUGUCACAAUCUUAACUCUAAGACUUGUUUUGGAACGAAGUAUGAUUGACUUCUUGAUUUGACCAUUUCUUCAAUCUUUGAUUCCUCUUCUUGGACAUACAAUUGUACCAAGACUCACUUAGAGGAUCAAUUGAGAUAUGGUUCUUAAUCAUUAAGACCUAUCAUAAAGCAUAAAAGGUACUCUCCCUUCUUCUUAGAAUGGAGAAACUUUUAUCUUUCUGCCUACUUGAUUCUUCUUAUUCGUUCUGCUAUUGAUUUAAACCUUUUCAAUCAAUUCAGAAUUACACUUAAUCUUAUAAGUAUAAUCAUAUUUACUAAACCUUUAGUAAAUCAUGACGAAUAUCUUUGUUACUCUUAUGGUGGACUUGAUCAACACGCAACUUUGUGUACUCGAUCUCCUAGUCCUUCACUUGACACUUUGUCAAUGAAUUAGUCUAAUUUCCAAAUAUGAAAUUUCUCAUUCAUCGUGCAACCAAGUUGCAUGAUUCCAAGUUUCUGUCCAAUUGAAACUUGGGCGAUGAGAAACUCUCCCUAUUUGGUAAAUUCUCGACUUUCCAUAAAUAACAUAAUAAGAACCAAAUCCAUUAUUGCUAAUAAUAGAAACAUUUUAACAUCAAUUUUUCAUACACGCCAUUGUAAGGAUAAAUAAAUAAAAUUUAAAAUCAAAAUUUAUUUUAUUGCGGAAAAAUUUGUCCUUACAAUGCAAUUCAUUGAAAAACUUAUGCUAAUACAUCUUUCUUAGCAAUCUAAUUCUAACUCUAAGUAGUAGCUCAAGAAUCUAAUCUUCGAGAAAUGCGAUCGAAAUCCAUUCCUUCACGGUUAGAUUCUGCUCACUUCUUCCCUUAAGCUUCCUUUCUUUUCUUCGAUCCUACAAAACAUCAAUUGUAAUCUUAUCACAUUAUGUAUUAAGAAUCUAGAAUAGAAGCUUAAAAGAGUUAGUUAAUGGAUUUUACCUAUAUUAGAGCCAUACGUUUCGACUCUCCCAUCUCUUAGAUCUCUUAGGUAAAUGGGGCAGCUUCGUCUCCAAUGCCCCUUCUCUUGGCAAUAAAAGCAAAUUGACUCUUUUGGAACAUGACAUGGAACUACUUCAGACAUUGCCUUUCUCUUAUGAUCAAACGUUUCGAUUAUAGCAUGUAUUUCGUUGCCAUUGUCUAUAUCUAUAGAGGUCUUAAAGGCAGAUUCACCAAUCAACUUUGCUUUUCCAUUGCGCCAAAACAUUUCUGAUUCAGCAACAAUAAGCAUAUAGGUGCGAUCUAUAAGGGUCACGUCGCAGUUCGUCAUAUAUUACUCUCUUUCGAACUCACUAUAUGAGUUAGGAAGUGACUGAAGAACCCAAUCAACAGCCAUUUCCUCACAGACAACGGAUCCCAACAUUCUUAACCUAUCAAUGUGUGACUUCAUCCCUAGGACAUGUGCACACACCGGCUUUCCUUCUUUAUGUUUACUUGCCAAAAGGGCUUGAGUGAUCUUGAACUUUUCAAGCCUUUGAACUUGUGGGUUAGGGAGAAUAAUUGGAGGAGGUGGAGGAAGUGAAGCAUGAUUUCUUGUUCCUCGAUCGAAUCGUGGAAUAUCAUCUUCAUGUGGAAUGCUUGUUCCACGGGAUUUGGGAAGACCAUAGUUGUCGAACUUUGACAUCUACAAAACGGGAGAAAACGAAUUCAAGUUAGUUGAUUGAUUGAGUCCUUAGUAAAUCACCCAAAUGAGAUACUAAGGCUAGGACCCAACACAAUAUUCUACAACUCGGGAGAGGGAUGCCGUAACCCUAAUUGCAGAAUAUUUGAAGGUAAGUGAAUGACGGUUCACUAAUUUCCACAGAAUAUUUGAAGGUAAUUGAACAUUUCAAUGGCAUGUUUAAAUUUCGAUAUGCCCUUCUUGUUUGUGACUGGGAUGCUGAGGAUCACAAAGCGGGUGUGAAUAACCAUGCAAACUUACAUGGUGCCCUCACAUGUUACAGUCACCUAUUCGAUGUGCCGGUAAACCACACACGCUCCACCGAACUAUGACAAACAUUGAGUCACCCUUUGCUACCUUUGCUUAGAACCAUUUAGUGUGCCGGUAAACCACACACGCUCCACUAACGUCUUCGCAAGGGCACAAAGUGUAAUUUCAUGGAAUUGCAUCAAUUCACUUUUGCCUAAGUAACUAAGAUUGGGAAUUUUAUGAAAACAUUUA